This 620-nucleotide long non-coding RNA is filed under the name Trifolium pratense (red clover). RNAcentral's name for it is "long non-coding RNA (TPRA_LNC010171)". The record is from RNAcentral. Lineage: Eukaryota; Viridiplantae; Streptophyta; Magnoliopsida; Fabales; Fabaceae.
ACAACCUUCAGAUGAUGAAGUCUUCAGAACUUCCUGACUGACUACAAGCUUCGUCAAACUCUGAAGAUCUUCUUGAAAUCUGUGAAGAUUCUCUUUGCAAGUCAACUCUUCUACCAAUGAAGAAAAGGACCUUUCAAGCCUGAUCAGUUCAGCUACUCUCGUUUUUGUCUGUACUCUCUUGAGAACGUGGGUCUUCAGUUUUGUUAGCUGAAUAAGGAAAGUCCACUCUGCUGUAGUCAAAGUAGCUGAAACUCUUACUCAGUUUUGGAUACAAACAAACUGCAUCAAGACAGGCUGUUUGAAGACAAAAGAUUAUCUACUUCAACGGUUCUUUUUGCAACGACUCUUUUCUAGUGGUAUAUAUACUAGAAGAAUCAGCUACAACAAAAAACAAUGAUCAAGGAUUGAACGUGCGCUGAACAAACUCUGAAUACUGUGUAUACAAGCUCUGAACCUCUGAUUAAGUGUUUUUGCACUUUAGUCAAAUACUCUGUACUCUCUGUAUUGGCUCUCCUUAGGUUCUUCUAAGAGCAUCUGUAUAUUUUCAUAUACUCUACUUUUACUUGAGAAACUUAAGCUUGUGUGCUUGAGUAAGUUGUCUUAAGCUUGUGUGCUUAAGA